RNAcentral lists this ribosomal RNA (373 nucleotides) under uncultured bacterium. RNAcentral describes it as "bacterial SSU rRNA". It matches the Rfam family "Bacterial small subunit ribosomal RNA", at positions 521 to 896 of the family's 1533-position model. The record is from RNAcentral.
UAAUACGAAGGUGGCAAGCGUUGUUCGGAUUUACUGGGCGUACAGGGAGCGUAGGCGGUUGGAUAAGCCCUCCGUGAAAUCUCCAGGCUUAACCUGGAAAGUGCAGAGGGGACUGUUCAGCUAGAGGAUGGGAGAGGAGCGCGGAAUUCCCGGUGUAGCGGUGAAAUGCGUAGAGAUCGGGAGGAAGGCCGGUGGCGAAGGCGGCGCUCUGGAACAUUUCUGACGCUGAGGCUCGAAAGCGUGGGGAGCAAACAGGAUUAGAUACCCUGGUAGUCCACGCCUUAAACGAUGGAUACUAAGUGUCGGCGGGUUACCGCCGGUGCCGCAGCUAACGCAGUAAGUAUCCCGCCUGGGAAGUACGGCCGCAAGGUUG